AUUGAACGCUGGCGGCAGGCUUAACACAUGCAAGUCGAGCGGAGAUGAGGUGCUUGCACCUUAUCUUAGCGGCGGACGGGUGAGUAAUGCUUAGGAAUCUGCCUAUUAGUGGGGGACAACAUUCCGAAAGGAAUGCUAAUACCGCAUACGUCCUACGGGAGAAAGCAGGGGAUCUUCGGACCUUGCGCUAAUAGGUGAGCCUAAGUCGGAUUAGCUAGUUGGUGGGGUAAAGGCCUACCAAGGCGACGAUCUGUAGCGGGUCUGAGAGGAUGAUCAGCCAAACUGGGACUGAGACACGGCCCAGACUCCUACGGGAGGCAGCAGUGGGGAAUAUUGGACAAUGGGGGGAACCCUGAUCCAGCCAUGCCGCGUGUGUGAAGAAGGCCUUAUGGUUGUAAAGCACUUUAAGCGAGGAGGAGGCUACUGAGACUAAUACUCUUGGAUAGUGGACGUUACUCGCAGAAUAAGCACCGGCUAACUCUGUGCCAGCCGCCGCAGUAA
This 501-nucleotide ribosomal RNA is filed under the name uncultured bacterium. RNAcentral describes it as "partial 16S ribosomal RNA". It matches the Rfam family "Bacterial small subunit ribosomal RNA", at positions 30 to 523 of the family's 1533-position model. The record is from RNAcentral.